Molecule: ribosomal RNA, 516 nt
Filed under: uncultured bacterium
Lineage: Bacteria
Description: bacterial SSU rRNA
Rfam family: Bacterial small subunit ribosomal RNA
Source: RNAcentral
UCCUGGCUCAGGACGAACGCUGGCGGCGCGCCUAACACAUGCAAGUCGAACGGGACUAUGCGAGAUGAAGUUUUCGGAUGGAAUUUUGUAUAGUUUAGUGGCGGACGGGUGAGUAACACGUGAGCAACCUGCCUUCGAGAGGGGAAUAACGGCUGGAAACGGUCGCUAAUACCGCAUAACAUACAGGAGGGACAUCCCUUUUGUAUCAAAGAUUUAUCGCUCGAAGAUGGGCUCGCGUCCGAUUAGGUAGUUGGUGAGGUAACGGCCCACCAAGCCGACGAUCGGUAGCCGGACUGAGAGGUUGAACGGCCACAUUGGGACUGAGACACGGCCCAGACUCCUACGGGAGGCAGCAGUGGGGGAUAUUGCACAAUGGGGGAAACCCUGAUGCAGCGACGCCGCGUGUAGGAAGACGGUCCUCUGGAUUGUAAACUACUGUCCCCAGGGACGAAGAUGACGGUACCUGGGGAGGAAGCUCCGGCUAACUACGUGCCAGCAGCCGCGGUAAUACGUAGG